UGUAGUACAAAAUAGGUACAUGACAUGUUCCAUCCAUGAGCAAUAUGAAACACGACAUGGUUUUUUUUUUGUUCACGACAUGUUCCAUCAUGAGCAAUAUGAAACAUGACAUGCCUUUUCUUUUUGUUCAGUUAGUGCCUAAAAGAAACCAUCCUUUUAUAUCUAGUAAAACGUGAGUUCUAUUUUCCUGCCAAGCCAUGCAUCGGUUGCUCAUAAACACCUGAAGAACUUACCUAUAUGGGACGUCGUCUAGUGUUGCCACUACUCAUAGCACCUGAGAAACCUACCUACUGUAGAUCAACAAAUCCCACCCCUUGUUGAACCAUGCAAUAUUAAUUGUUAACCCU
Molecule: long non-coding RNA, 347 nt
Filed under: Brachypodium distachyon (stiff brome)
Lineage: Eukaryota; Viridiplantae; Streptophyta; Magnoliopsida; Poales; Poaceae
Description: long non-coding RNA (BDIS_LNC002366)
Source: RNAcentral